Molecule: transfer RNA, 73 nt
Filed under: Trichonephila clavata
Lineage: Eukaryota; Metazoa; Arthropoda; Arachnida; Araneae; Nephilidae
Rfam family: tRNA
About the family: Transfer RNA (tRNA) molecules are approximately 80 nucleotides in length.
Source: Rfam by way of RNAcentral
GUCCCUGUAGCGCAAUGGAUAGCGCGUUGGACUUCUAAUCCAAAGGUCGUGGGCUUGAAUCCCGCCUGUGAUG